RNAcentral lists this ribosomal RNA (465 nucleotides) under uncultured bacterium. RNAcentral's name for it is "partial 16S ribosomal RNA". It matches the Rfam family "Bacterial small subunit ribosomal RNA", at positions 28 to 507 of the family's 1533-position model. The record is from RNAcentral.
GACGAACGCUGGCGGCGUGCUUAACACAUGCAAGUCGAACGGAAAGGCCCUGCUUGCAGGGUACUCGAGUGGCGAACGGGUGAGUAACACGUGGGUGAUCUGCCCUGCACUUCGGGAUAAGCCUGGGAAACUGGGUCUAAUACCGGAUAGGAGCCAUUUUUAGUGUGAUGGUUGGAAAGUUUUUUCGGUGUAGGAUGAGCUCGCGGCCUAUCAGCUUGUUGGUGGGGUAAUGGCCUACCAAGGCGGCGACGGGUAGCCGGCCUGAGAGGGUGGACGGCCACAUUGGGACUGAGAUAAGGCCCAGACUCCUACGGGAGGCAGCAGGGGGGAAUAUUGCACAAUGGGCGCAAGCCUGAUGCAGCGACGCCGCGUGGGGGAUGACGGCCUUCGGGUUGUAAACUCCUUUCGCUAGGGACGAAGCGUUUUGUGACGGUACCUAGAUAAGAAGCACCGGCUAACUACGUG